GCAGGGUCUGUGAAUGAUUUGUG
This 23-nucleotide non-coding RNA is filed under the name Arabidopsis thaliana (thale cress). The record is from RNAcentral. Lineage: Eukaryota; Viridiplantae; Streptophyta; Magnoliopsida; Brassicales; Brassicaceae.